AACGCACCUUGCGCUCCUUGGUAUUCCGAGGAGCAUGCCUGUUUGAGUGUCAUUAAAUUCUCAAACUCCGAUCGAUUUGUUUCGACUUCGGGGCUUGGAUUUGGAGCGUGCUGGCGUCGGUCGGCUCCUCUUAAAUGCAUCAGCGGAAUCUAACGUUCCGGACGUCAGUGUGAUAAUCACGUUGCGCUGUCUUUCGGUCCGAAAAGCCCGCUCACAAUGGUCUUCGGACAGCUUCAUAUCAAAUUUGACCUCAAAUCAGGUAGGACUACCCGCUGAACUUAA
This 282-nucleotide unclassified non-coding RNA is filed under the name Otidea sp. Its description in RNAcentral is "partial contains 5.8S ribosomal RNA, internal transcribed spacer 2, and large subunit ribosomal RNA". The stretch from base 1 to 52 matches the Rfam family "5.8S ribosomal RNA", at positions 103 to 154 of the family's 154-position model. Lineage: Eukaryota; Fungi; Ascomycota; Pezizomycetes; Pezizales; Pyronemataceae. The record is from RNAcentral.